This 3412-nucleotide long non-coding RNA is filed under the name Sus scrofa (pig). RNAcentral's name for it is "lncRNA (ENSSSCG00040025328.1)". Lineage: Eukaryota; Metazoa; Chordata; Mammalia; Artiodactyla; Suidae. The record is from RNAcentral.
ACUCUGUCCUUGCGAUUAAGGACAAGAUGUUCUAUUUGUAUGUUUGUAUGUUUUUUCAAUUGUAUUUUAAGGAUCUUCUCUGUGCACGGGAAAAUACUGGCAGACAGAACAACUGUUCAGUUUCUAUAAAGAUAAAUUCAUCUGUCUUGAAAAAUGCUAAAGAUUAUUUUCAUGCAGAAGAUAAAUCACUGGAAGAGACAGUAAAGAAUUCAAAAGGUGCCCAGACCUGACUCACACUGAGAAGUCACUGGAUGUGAGCUGUCCCCAGGGAGCAACCAGGCUUGGACAGGCUGAUUCCUGCAGGUGAGAGCAAUUCCUGGUGAGGAACAGCGCUGUGAUCUGUCACCAACCCAUAUGUCCGGCAGCUGGAGUGAGUGUCCCCAUCCUGAAGUGGGAUCUACGUGCUGUGUCACAGAAUCCACCAUGGGAGUUUAUGGGCUUUUGCUGCUGUUAGGUUUUAUUUAUUUUUUUGCCUAACCCUGAAUGUCAUUCACUCAAAGUGGAUCAUAGUUCUAAAUGCAAAAACUGAAACUAUAAAACUUUCGGAUGUUCCAUGUUACCCAAGUCACAAGAACUAUCACAUUUAAAUUUUUUGAAAUGAAAUCCAGUGUGACUUUGCUUCUACUCUAGAAAAGCAGAAAAUGCUAUCUAUAUAUCUAUCUAUCCAUCUAUCCAUCCAUUUAUCCAUCCAUCCAUCUAUCCAUCUACCUACUUUCCUGGUUCCUUUUCAUACCUUUGGGUUGUAUACAGACCACAAAACAAUGGGGAAGAGCCUCUGGUCUUCAGUGCCCUGUGGCUGCCACUCCUGGUCAUCCUUGCCCAUGGGCCUGUGUAAUCCAUUCACAGAUACAGAGCCUCAUGCCUCUGGAUCAAGUGUGACCCCAGACACUCUGUAGAGAAUCCUAACGUCUAGCUUCUGAGCACGCACACUCCUUGGGGCCCUGUGUAGAGUUGGGCCAUUGAUGGAACCUAUAAUUGACGUGAAUCCCCUCUCCAACAUCCCCCUUCUUGCCCCCCAACUGCCAGCCCCUCUUUCACCUUUGCAACUGUUCCCCAAGUAUGGAUGGCGGACCAGAAGCAUCAUCUGAGAACUGCUUUACAGUUUAAAAUUUGUCAGGCAGCUCCCAUGUGUAGUCAGGGCUGAGAAUCACUGUUGUAGAUUUCAGAACAAGGAUGAUGACAGAGAUGCCUAAGAAUAUACACACCAUGAAUACAUUUUAAAAUAUUUAAAUGAUUCAAGUCUAGGACAAGGAAGUGUUAAGUGUAUUGAGAAGUUACCAGUCCAGUCUCUUCAUUAGCUAAGAAAACCUUCUUGGGAAAAGUGGGGUGUAAGGAUACAAAUUGCAGAAUAUUCUGGUUCUUCUUCUUGCAGACGAGGGGUUUCCUGGAGGAUGGCUUCCAUCUUGGAUGGUAAGUGACUUUGGGAAUGUAGGUCAAGCAUGACUGAGCAACGGGAUGGAAAGAGCCUGAAUCCUUGACACCAUCAUGGGUGGACUGGUCCUAGAUCACGUACAUCCAGACCUUUUUACACACUAAGAAAUGAUCUUUAAUCUUGUGUAAGCCUGUUACCUCAUGGUUUUUCUGUCACUUGCAACCAAACCUUAUCUUGACUAAUGUCAGCAGCAAUACCUAGCAUAUGACCAGACAAGAGCAUCUUCUCCUAAAAAUAGACUAAUUAAAUACCUACAUUCUAUACAGCCUCAAAACUUACUUUGAAGUAUAAUUUAAAGGUGACUGAGACCACCAUGUGUGGUAUAGAAUGAAACAUGAAUGUGAUAAUUAAGAAAGUAAUUAGCUUGUCUUCUCCCAUGUGGUUACAUGAGAAUAGAGGCCAAGGGAAAGAAAGAAACUUCUGUGACUCUGCUGGGGAAGCACGGGUGCUCUGGGAAUGCUGUCAAUACAACAGUCACCUAUGCUGGGCCAUACUGGACAUCCAGUCUUUUAUUUCUUUCUUUAUUUUUGGCUGCACUCAGCUUGUGGAAGUUCCCAGGCCAGGGGUCAAACCUGUGUCACGGCAGUGAGCCGGGCAGCUGCAGUGGGGUCCUUAACCCACUGUGCCACAAGGGAACCCCAUCUUCUCUUUUGCUCUCCAGGUUUUCCUAAGUAUUUUUCUCUUUUCUUUAAACACCGAAAAGCGGUAUCUUAUUGGGAAAUCUCAAAUGCACAAAAUGUUAAUUCUCUAGAAGACAGAUAUACAAACUGAAAGAAAAAAAUCUAUUGGUCAGGCAAAAAGUAACUUGAAAAUCAUUAAUUCACUUAAAGCAUUUCUGGACAUAAAGCUGUUUAUUUUGCAGGUUUUAUGAUCCUUCUUAAGCUAGAGACUUAACUGCUCAAGCCCUUCACUUUCAAGAUCCAUCAUAAGCUCAAGUGCCUUCAGGGGCCAAGUGGGUGGGUUAAAUAGCCCCCAGAUGGGAUUAUGGGAAAAUGGGAAUAUCUGUCUCUGAACUGGGCAGCUUCACACCAAUAAUGAACAGAGGUAACUAGGGGGGCCCACCAUCAGCAGAGCCUCUGGUUUUUGUUUUUUUUUUUUGGAAGGAAAUAUAUGCUUUUUAAAUGUUAUCUUCUGAUAGUCAGUUAAAAUUUUUCAAAACAAAACAUAGACCAAAGCAAACACCUCAGUGAGCUGAGUACCAUCUGAAGUUUAAAGUCUAGAUGCAACUGGAUCUGCGUUUGCAAAAUCAGAUUUUAAAAUUUAACUUUAGGGCGUUCCCAUUGUGGCACAGUGAGUUAAGAAUCCAAAUGCAAAGGAAAUAUUUAAACAACAACAACAAAAACAACAAAGAAUCCAACUGUAGCAGCUCAGGUCACUGCAGAGACAUGAGUUAGAUCCCUAAGCCCAGUGCAGUGGGUUAAAGGAUUUGGUGUUGCUGCAGCUGUGGCUUGGAUUCAGUCCCUGGCCUGGGAACUUCCAUAAGCUGUGGGCAUGGCCAUAAAAAUAAUAAAAUUAAACUAAAAAGUAAAAAAGUAAAUAAAAAAUAAAAUUUGACUUUAAUUUGGCCUUAUUAUCUUGCUUUAAUUGAUUACAAAUUGUCUGAACCCAAUAUAAAGGGCAAAUAAUAGAUGACAAGCUGUUGGGGAGAGACACGCUGAAGUAAUUGCCAGAGGGAACCAUCACAUACCUUUUGAGCCAGAUAGAACUUAACUGGAAUAAAACUCGGAGACAUUGUGACUUUGUUUUUCCAGAACAGGGGCUUUGAGGAUAAUCAAGGGUUUUAGUGAUGACAGAGAGGACCUCUGCCUCCGGAAUUACAUCUACCUGUCACCUAUCAGGGAGAUGACAGUCCCUCUUCAACUAACUGAAUUCAAGAAAUUUGCCCAACACUUUUAUGUGUCGGGAACUGUGUUAGGUGCUAAGGACACAAAGUUGAGUGAAUCAGUCUUGGUAUUCAAAGAAUUCAUACUUAGUGGGGAA